This 183-nucleotide ribosomal RNA is filed under the name uncultured bacterium. RNAcentral's name for it is "partial 16S ribosomal RNA". It matches the Rfam family "Bacterial small subunit ribosomal RNA", at positions 1318 to 1500 of the family's 1533-position model. The record is from RNAcentral.
GUAUGAAGUCGGAAUUGCUAGUAAUCGUGGAUCAGCAUGCCACGGUGAAUACGUUCCCGGGCCUUGUACACACCGCCCGUCACACCAUGAGAGCCGGAACACCCGAAGUCCGUAGUCUAACCUAUAUGGAGGACGCGGCCGAAGGUGGGUUUGGUAAUUGGGGUGAAGUCGUAACAAGGUACC